GAUGAACGCUGGCGGCGUGCCUAAUACAUGCAAGUCGAGCGAACGGACGAGAAGCUUGCUUUUCUGAUGUUAGCGGCGGACGGGUGAGUAACACGUGGAUAACCUACCUAUAAGACUGGGAUAACUUCGGGAAACCGGAGCUAAUACCGGAUAAUAUUUUGAACCGCAUGGUUCAAAAGUGAAAGACGGUCUUGCUGUCACUUAUAGAUGGAUCCGCGCUGCAUUAGCUAGUUGGUAAGGUAACGGCUUACCAAGGCAACGAUGCAUAGCCGACCUGAGAGGAUGAUCGGCCACACUGGAACUGAGACACGGUCCAGACUCCUACGGGAGGCAGCAGUAGGGAAUCUUCCGCAAUGGGCGAAAGCCUGACGGAGCAACGCCGCGUGAGUGAUGAAGGUCUUCGGAUCGUAAAACUCUGUUAUUAGGGAAGAACAUAUGUGUAAGUAACUGUGCACAUCUUGACGGUACCUAAUCAGAAAGCCACGGCUAACUACGUG
Molecule: ribosomal RNA, 497 nt
Filed under: uncultured bacterium
Lineage: Bacteria
Description: partial 16S ribosomal RNA
Rfam family: Bacterial small subunit ribosomal RNA
Source: RNAcentral